UACAACAUCUUAUUUUUUGGAUUUUAUGAAUCUCAUGGAUUGUUGAUUUACGAUGACGAUCAUUUACUUACGGGAUUUUAAGAGUCUCACAGUCUACUGAUUUAAGAUCAUGAUUUUCUAUUUACGCUGUACAGCCCAAUUUCGCCCUGGGCCUAGGCAGGCCCAAUUACAAGGCCCAAAUGCCCAAACCUACCCAAUACCCAAACCCCAAACAGCAGACCCAAUAACCCAAAUUAAAAACAAGCCCAAAUAAAGAAAAACCUAGCCCAAACCCAAAAACAAAAAAAAAGAAAGAAACAAAGAAACCCUAGCCUCUAACCCUAGCCUCUGUCGCCGCCCUAGCCUCUACCGUGCUAGCAUUGCCUCUGACGCCGCGCCACCAACUCCCUCACCUACUCCAUCAAACGUCAAAUACCUGUAAGAAGGAAGAACACGCAAAAAAGACACAGUAACAAAAAUAGACAAUGUAACAGGGCUAUAAGAGCCGAACUUCAUUCUUGUAAAAGAAGGGUCUUUGAAAAAAAAAGGGAAAAACCGAUUCAAAAAAAAAGACAAAGAUUCAAGAAGAAAUAAAAGUAACAUUUUUAUCUUAUUUCGUUUUUCAUUAAUCUUUUUUUUAAUUUUUAAUUUUUAUUUUUUUCUGUUUGUUCUAAGAUAUAUAUAUAUUAUAUACGCAUAUGUAGUAGAAAAAUAAAAAAUAAAAAAUAUACCUUUUUUUAAUUUUUCGGCCACCGUGUAAGGUGGCCGGUGUGACGGCACCGACGGCGGAGCCUCACCAGACCCAGGGCCGGAGUUCAGAAAGGGGAGAGGAGACUAGCGGGAUUUUUUUGUUGUUUUUUUGGAAGAAAGGCUGAAAAUGAGGUUUUAAAAAAGAAAUUUGGCUUUUAUAAUACUAUUAAAACGACGUCGUUUUGCUAUUAAGGGUCAGGUGCCAAAACGACGCCGUUUUGGCCUUGACCCGCGCGGUGACCCGAUCCUGAGGGGAGGAUCCGCCUGUUUUCUUUAAAAGGGCUAUUUGCGCGCGCGGUCCCUCUACUUUUGCAGCGCGUUGCAAUUUGACCCUUUCCUUCUUUUCUUUAUUUUUAAUUUAGCCGUAUAGUUUUAUCGUUGUUUCAUUUUAGUCCCGCAUAAAGUGAUGCGCUGGGAAGGAUGGGAUAUUUCCUUUUUUGGUCCCCUUUCUUUCACGCGCAUCCCAAAUUAAUCUUUUGCUUUAUUUUAUUCUGAUUUCUCCCCUGGGACUUUGUUUUGUUUUCAAUCUAAUCCAUUUAUUAUUAUUAUUAUUAAGCUUAUUAUGAUUAUUAUUCUUGUUAUUGCAUUUAUUAUUAUUACUUUCAUUAUUAUUAUUAUUUACCCACUUAUACCAUUUUUAGAUUUUGUUAUAUAUAUUCAUACUAACUUAUAUAUAUAUACCUUUUUUAAUUUUUAUAUAUGUACGUACUUAUAUUUUUAUAUGCUUUAAUAUCUUUAUAUAUAUAUAUACUUACUUAUAUAUUAUUUGUACUUUAUACUUUAUAUAUGUAUACCCACAUAUUUUAAAUAUACAUACUUUUUUUAAGGCUUUAUAAUUUAUAUAUAUACAUAGAUAUGCAUAUUUUUUAUAUGUACAUACAUUCAUAUAUUUUAUAAUUUAUAAUUUAAGUACAUAGAUAUACAUACAUAAAUAUUGUAUUUUUUUGUAAUUCAUAUUGUUAUCGAUUGUUUUAUUUGAUAUUUAUUUAUUUGCUUAUCAUUAUUUUUAUGAAAUGUUUUAGUUCUUUUUAUUUACUCAUUGUUUCAUGUAUAAUUGUUUUUUAUGUGUCCUUUUUAUUGUUGCUCGUAUUAUUUUACUUACAUUAUCAUAAUUGUCAUUCCAUUAUGUCAAUUUUUACCCAGAUUUUAAAAAAAAAUUAAAUAAAAGUAAUACUCGGUAUUUGGGAUCUUCGAGAGAAUCGAGCCCUAAUGUAUUGGGUUCCGAUUUUCUUUGUUGAAUCUAAAUAAUCGAGACUACUAUUUUUUAUAAUAAAAAAACAUAAAUAAAAGCUCAUUAUCGAGAAUUCAAUACGUUGUGUCCUAACGCAUUGGAUAUGAUACAUUGUCUUCUCGAGAUGAGGAUUUUUCUAAAAAAAUAACAAAGGUAAUAUUUUGCUUUUGGAAAUUCGAGAAAACAUGCCCUAAUGUGCUGGGUUUCGAUUUUUUCGUUUGACCAAAUAGCCAAAUAUCCUUUUAAAAUUUCAAAAUAAGGAAAUGUUUUGCGUUUGGGAAAUUCGAGAAAACGUGCCCUAAUGUGCUGGGUUUCGAUUUCUCAUUUGACCAAAUAGUCAAAUAUUCUCUUAAAUCUUAAUCCAUGUUAUUCAAGUUUUUUUAGGAUCGUAUUUUAAAUCUCUUUAAAGUUUUCAGUUUUUCGACGCUAAGACAUUAAGUAAUCAACUAGGUACCAAUUUUGGGCGUAUCGAGGGUGCUAAUCCUUCCUCAUGCGUAACCGACUCUCGAACCCGUUUUUCUGAAUUUCGUAGACCAAACUUGUUGUUUUAAUAAAAUCAAAUUGUUUAUUAAAAACAACCACUUUUCGAGCUGAUCCGAUCACACCUCAUCAAAAAGGAUUGGUGGCGACUCCCGUUUCCGUUUUAAUUUUCCAAAACCCAAGUCGACCCUGUUUUCAUCAAAAAAUGGUGUCAACAGCUUGGCGACUCUACUGGGGACAUGAGAUUAAGAGAGUCAAGCCACGAGUUGAUUAUUUUUGUCUUCUUGUCGAAAAUUGAAAACUUGGUUUAAAUGUACGAUCCUUUCAUUGCAUUUCAUCAGUUUUUAGUACAAUUUUCAUCGUUGUGGUUUAUGAUUGUUAUGUUAGUUUAAGUUUCGGUAUCUUUUUGCAUUGCAUUGCAUGACCGUUGGUCACACCCUUUUAGGUGGGAGUGAGAAGCUACUCCUUCGUGAGGUUUUCACCUCCGUGUAGGAUAGUGGAUCGCUUCCGGGAUACAUUCGUACCUAUGUCUUCGUGAGAUUUUCAUCUCUGUGCAGCCAUAGGGAAAUGUAUUCCCCUGAACCGAACUCGGUCUAUAUGAGCUUAUAAUGGGUGAAGAUCGAGGAAUCUACUGGUUGUGGUACCCUUACUUUAGAGCCAAACCUCAUGUAGUAGACCUUAGGAGCCCACCCUAGGUAGAACCACUUCGAACCCUAGUAUUCACCCGGAUAGGUGUUCUAUUUAUUCUUGCUUGCUUUUGCUUUGUACUAAUCUGUUUUCUUUUUUUUUGUUAUGACUGCAUUGCAUUUUCAUCAUAAGGAGGUGUUGAUUCACGUUCGAUUGUUAAAUAGAGAGCUUGUCAUAAGGAAAUGAGUUUCUUGAUAAAGUGGAUAAUAAUACGGUUGUCCGAAUAUGGUCCAAAAAAUGUGAUAAGAGAAGGAUGAUAGUUCAAUGGAGGACCACACGACCAUUGCUCCGUUGCCCCAGAAUUCAAGAUAACAAAGAUUAUUCGAGAACUGCUGAACUUUCUUAAAGAGGAGCCAACAAGCAUCACGAGGAUGAGUGAUUAAAGACUCGCGGCCCGGAUCAAGGAAAAGGGAGAUAAAAGAGACAUCCCUUUUGAAGAGUUCGUGAGAUUUAUCUUAACGCGCGAAUGAAAAAAAGGAUCAUUCUCUUGGAACAUAAGGGCAAAGUCGUAUAUAUAUCCGCUUUAUGUAAAGAGAUUUGUUUUCUAGUAAAGUUGUUCUAAUAGAAUUGAACCAAGAAUCAACGUCUCUUUUUGCAUUCAUUUCAUGCAUCUGCUUUACAUAUCAUUGCAUGCAUCAAAUUUCACUAAAAUACCCUAAUGAAACGAAAUCAUUUCAGAGUCAAUAGAAACCAACCUACCAAACCAACACCCUUGCGCUACCCAAACAGGAACUAGAGAAAUGGAACAAAGGUUGGAAAAAUUAGAGCGAAUGCAAAUACAGAUACAUGAGCAAUUGACUAAAUUUCAACAGGAGAUGAGAGAUCAGAUGCUAGAAUUACAGAGAACCAUGAUGAGCCAGUUCAACCGAUUGCUAGCUGGAGAAAAAAGGAAGGACCCGAUGGACCACUCUGGGUUGAUAAUGAGGAUUUUGCUUAUUUCCUAGAUUGUACUUCGACAAGUGCCCAGGUCCAGCCAGAUGGGCGCCUACAAGGGGCACUCUUCACUAUCAGAUCUCAACAAUAUCAGACUGGUAUAGCAACACCAGUGUGUUGCCUAACGAACCCAAGAUCCAAUUUGAGGAACAAUUUUCCUGUUGCUAUUGAUAACCUAACUGAAACAAAGCAGGUGAGGGUGGAGUACCUAGAUACUACAAAGGCCCCAAGGAAGAAGGGAAAUAAAUGGGAUAAUGCUGGCAAGUAUAACAGGGGCCACUUAAAGCCAAUCACUAUGAGCAGGCCAAAGACAGAAACCACCAGACAUCGGAGUCCUUUAGAGCAAAAAUCUUAUACAAAGACAAAUACAGAAAGGCUGCAGUUCACACUUAUACCGAUGUCAUAUAGUGAGUUAUACCGAAGCUUAUUUGAUGCACGUGUGGUGUCCCCCUUCUACUUAAAACCUAUACAACUUCCGUAUCCUAAAUGGUAUGGCAUAAACGCACAAUGCGACUAUCAUGCGGGAAUUACGGGGCAUUCAAUAGAGAAUUGCACUGCCUUCAAGAAAUUGGUUGAAAAACUCAUUAACAUGGGUGUUGUCAGAUUUGAUGACUCGUCUAGUGCAAAAAAUCCACUACCCAAUGGGGUAGAUGUGAGGGAGGGAAGGGUAUUAGUUAUUUCUGAUUCAGGAGGAGGCCAUGGAAAGACAAGGAACCAUUGUGAGUUCCAUCACGAGAAGGGGUAUGAGACCCAAGAGAGUGUGAAAUUCAAGGCCUUGGCUCCGGGCACGAUGGACGACAAGGAGAUGAAGCUGUGUGAGGAAAUUAAAGAGGAGAAAAACAUAUACACAAUGUUGGCAAGUGUUCACACCAAUGACAUAUGUGAAGACACAAAUGAAAAGGGACAUUGUUAGAUAUUCGCCCUUAUGAAUCUAGAGUGUUCUAAGCAAUUAAACUGCAGAAGAAACCCCUGUAGUUUUUAGAGCUUAUUUAGAGUAAUGUUCAGAACAUUUUUGUUGUUUUUAGCCUAAAAAUGAUUGAAAUUCCUUUGUGAAAUAGGCUCAUGUCUGAACGUUAUUAUUCUAAUGACAUACAUCUUUACGAUCACUUUUGAGCCAAUGUUCUUUCAUUCUUUUUAAAUAACUAUUUCUGAUUAUUCUUUUAGAUUUUCUUCCACAUUAUUCAUUCAUUCAUAAUCAUAUUGUAUAAAUAAUUAUUCAUAAAUUUAUACAUUCUUUUAUAUAUUCUUUGGUACUUAUUAUGAGUCCCCAGAUAUCAAUGACAUGAAUGACACUGCUACAGACCCAGAUUUUCCUCUUGAACGAGGCAUGUGUUUAGACGGAUCUCAUGACUUUGGAAAUGACAUAGAUCGUAGCUUAUCUCUAGACUUGGUAAGGAGGGUAGAACAAGAGGAUAGACAGAUCCUAUCUCACAAGGAAUCAUUAGAAAUUGUGAGCUUGGAGAAUAUUAGAAUUGACUUGACCGCAAAGACGAAGCAAGACCUUGUUGAGUUACCUCUAGAGUUCAAAGAUGUCUUUGUAUGAUCAUACCAGGAUAUGCCUGAAUUAAUAGCUGAUAAUGAAAUCUACACAGCAGCACGUUUUCAAAAAUUUGCAGUGAACGAUGCGAUUCUUCGUCAGGGCAAAUGCCUCUCUCGUUGACUCAGCAUAGCUUUGCCCAUUUGAAGUCGAGCUUCCAUCCCUUCAAGAUCAAAAGUUUUCUAUUGUAGUUUCACCCCAGAAGGCUCUAUGAAGGAAAUCUGAUCAAAGAAGAUCAUUCGAAAGGGAUAACAAGGACUUGCCUAACCCUAUGAGUUCAGAUUCCAUAAAAAAAAGCAAAAAAGAGGGAAAAGAAAAAAGAAAAAUCAAAGUCAAAAGCAAAAAAGAAAAUCAAUCAAAGUCAAAAAUAAGAGAAAAAGAAAAAAAAUAGAAAAAGAAAAGAAAAAGGAGAGGUCGAGGCAAAAAACCGCAAAUGGCGCUUUGACCAAAGGUGGAUUUGAGUUGAAAACCCGAAAAGGGCGACUUAAAUUUUGAGCGAAAUGGGGCAAGGACAUCACCAUUAUUGAAGACUUCUAAUGGGCAUUACUUCAUUUUUGAGAUCAUUAGUUACUUUAUCAAACGGGUAGAGGCUAUUUCAUGCGUCAAUGUCAUCAUAUGCCGGUAUAGAACUAUAGAGAAGAUGGUAUCAUGAAUGAUAGCACGAUAGCUGAGGUCUGUGAUCAAUUCAAAAUCAGACAUCACAAUUCAUUAAUGUAAUAAAUUGCAAACAAUGACUGAGACUUACGAGGGUAGGCAUGUGAGGUUACCAUCUGCCUUCCUCGUUUUUCGAACGGUUAUCAGGACUUUGACUGGGGCAACACUGUUUUCUCUGGUUUACAAGACGGAAGUAGUUCUACCUAUUGAAGUAGAAAUCCUUGUUCUCUGGUUUCAGUUGAGCAAAAUGAAUCUAAUCUGAUCAGAAGGAAAAAGACUAAAAGCUAUUUAGCGGAGUCAGAUGUGCCAAAGGCAAAUGAUACGAGCCAAUGACAAAUAGGGUCGUCCCAGAGAAUUCCACAAGAGGGCUAGAUGUUGAAAGAAGAUCCUUCCUCAACGAAAGGAUUCUAGAGGGAAAUGAAUGCCAAACCGGGAAUGUCCCUAUGAUGUAAAGAUGACCAUUUUUAGAGGAGUACUGAUCCUGAGUGAGAUUGCUAAUCCUAUAAAAUCGGAUCCAGUCAAGAAACACGUCGUUUAAAGAAGAAUAAAAGACCAAGGUGAAAACCCGCAAAGGGCAUCUUAGGCCAAAUGGGAUUAGAGUUGAAAACCCGAAAAGGGCGACUCAAAUAUUGAUCAGAAUGGGGCAUGAGGUGAUCAGAGCAAUUCAAAUUUUGAUCAGAUUGGGGCAUUUGGUGAUCUUGUUAUACCUGAAUCAACAAGAAAGGGUAGGCGACAUCUUGGGGCAUCGACAAAGCAAUGUAGAUCUCCUAAACACAUGUCAAACUCAGAAUGGUCUUCAGAAAGUUUGAACAGAGAAGUUCAAGCUGCGAUAUCUGGGGCACCCAAUUCUCAUAUUAUUUAUAUCGAAUUUGUUGUUCUUGGAAUACUUUAUUCUUUUCCAAGAUAUGCAUUCCCAAUCAAUUUCUUUAUUAUCCUUCUUUACAAUUCUGGAUAAUUUAUUCAUUUUGAGUUAUGCUCAGAACCAGCUUUAUUCUUAUCCAUUGUUAUGCCUUUUUUGCAAGCAUGUUGCAUUGGAAUAAUGAUUAAUGGACUAAUAAAACUUUCACAAAGGAAGUUUUGCAUAUUACUCUAAAAAGUUUCUAAAUAAUAUAGGAACCUGAAACAGGACAAUUGUUUAGAACACACCAAAUUUAAAAGUUGGAAAUUUGAGAAGGAAGAGUCUAAAUUUGGACUUUCUCUUUGGAUUUUGUUGUCAAGUGCAUUUAUUGAACAAAAUGACAAGAUGUCGUGUCAAUGACAAAGCUUAAAUAAACAAGCAAGUAAUGAUUAUCAGCCAAUAGGAAGAGGUUACCUCGGAGAAAAGAUCCUUUAUUUGCACAUGAGUAUGACACCUUGGGAAUGGUGUAAGGAACUAGAACGAUUCAGGUCCUGUAUCCUUGAAUUGUGGUAGGAAAGGAUUGAGGAAAGGCCACAUAUUUCUACCCUUGGAUAACAGUGGGAGAAUGAUGGUACAAAUUUUGCGCCCCAAUGGAGUAAACUUUGAGGUUCACAGUGGGGGCAACCUGGCUAAACGUUUCUUCAGAAAAGCCAAUCAAGCAAGAAGGCGUCGCAGCAUGUUAGUCACAAAGCCUUAAUAAACUUUGAGUAAUGACAACCUAAGAGAGAUCAUUCUCGGAAAAAUAAAAUUUUGCAUUCAUGCAAACACCAUUGACACAUGUCUAGUUAGGAGCAUUUGAUUCAUUUUGAUCAUGCCAUCCUAAUCAUUAGGCAUAAUUAGGUUCAUUGUACAGGUCAUGUUCCACAGAGAACAGAUCAAUGAAGACAACAAAUCUUGCCUUCCUGCAUUGACAGCGAAGCAGAUCGAAGACACAAACCUUGUCUCUUUCGGUUGUAGCGGAGCUGGUUGAAGACAACAGAUCUUGCCUUCCUGCAUUGACAGCGAAGCAGAUCGAAGACACAAACCUUGCCUCUCUCGGUUGUAGCGGAGCUGGUUGAAGACAACAGAUCUUGCCUUCCUGCAUUGACAGCAAAACAGAUCGAAGACACAAACCUUACCUCUCUCGGUUGUAGCGGAGCUGGUUGAAGACAACAGAUCUUGCCUUCCUGCAUUGACAGCGAAGCAGAUCAAAGACACAAACCUUGCCUCUCUCGGUUGUAGUGGAGCUGGUUGAAGACAACAGAUCUUGCCUUCUUGAAUCGACAUCGAAACGAAUCGAAGACACAAAACUUGCCUCUCUCGGUUGUAGUGGAGCUGGUUGAUGACAACAGAUCUUGUCUUCCUGAAUCGACAGCGAAGCGGAUCGAAGACACAAGCCUUGCCUCCCUCGGUUGUAGUGAAGCUGGUUGAAGACAAUAGAUCUUGCCUUCCUGCAUUGACAGCGAAGUAGAUCGAAGACACAAACCUUGCCUGUCUCGGUUGUAGCGGAGUUGGUUGAAGACAACAGAUCUUGCCUUCCUGCAUUGACAACGAAGCAGAUCGAACCCACAAACCUUGCCUGUCUCGGUUGUAGCGGAGUUGGUUGAAGACAACAGAUCUUGCCUUCCUGCAUUGACAGCGAAGCAGAUCAAAGACACAAACCUUGCCUCUCUCGGUUGUAGCAGAGCUGGUUGAAGACAACAGAUCUUGUCUUCCUGCAUUGACAGCGAAGCAGAUCGAAGACAGAAACCUUACUUCUCUCAGUUGUAUCGGAGCUGGUUGAAGACAACAAAUCUUGCCUUCCUGCAUUGACAGCGAAGCAGAUCGAAGACACAAACCUUUCCUCUCUCGGUUGUAGCGGAGCUGGUUGAAGACAACAGAUCUUGCCUUCCUACAUUGACAGUGAAGCAGAUCGAAGACACAAACCUUACCUCUCUCGGUUGUAGCGGAGCUGAUUGAAGACAACAGAUCUUGCUUUCCUGCAUUGACAGCGAAGCAGAUCGAAGACACAAACCUUGCCUCUCUCGAUUGUAGCGGAGCUGGUUGAAGACAACAGAUCUUGCCUUCCUGCAUUGACAGCGAAGCAGAUCGAAGACACAAACCUUGUCUCUGUCGGUUGUAGCGGAGCUGGUUGAAGACAACAGAUCUUGCCUUCCUACAUUGAUAGCAAAGCAGAUCGAAAACACAAACCUUGCCUCUCUCGGUUGUAGCGGAGCUGGUUGAAGACAACAAAUCUUGCCUUCCUGUAUUGACAGCGAAGCAGAUCGAAGACAUAAACCUUGCCUCUCUCGGUUAUAGCGGAGCUGGUUGAAGACAACAGAUCUUGCCUUCCUGCAUUAACGGCGAAGCAGAUCGAAGUUACAAAUCCUAUCUCCCUGGUCAGUAGUGGAGUAGGUUGGAAAUUACAGAUCUUGUCUCCUUAAGUAGUAGCGGAGCAGAUCGAAGAUGGAAAAUCUUAUCUUCAAGAGUAAGGAAGCAGAUUUAAGCCACAAAUCCUAUCUCCCUGGUCAGCAGUGGAGUAGGUUAGAAAUUACAGAUCUUGUCUCCCUAAGCAGUAACGGAGCAGAUCGAAGACGGCAAAUCUUAUCUUUCAAGAGUAAUGAAGCAGAUUUAAGCCACAAGUCCUAUUUCCCUGGUCAGCAGUGGAAUAAGUUGGAAAUUACAGAUCUUGUCUCCCUAAGCAGUAGCAGAGCAGAUCAAUGACGACAAAUCUUAUCUUCAAGAGUAAGGAAGCAAAUUUAAGCCACAAAUCCUAUUUCCCUGAAGUUGCAGUAAAACAAGUUGAAGCUACAAGUCUUAUCUCACUGAGGUUGCAGUGUAGCAGACUGAAGAUAGUAAAUGUUUUCUCGAAGAGCCACAGAUCUUAUCUCUCUGAAGUUGCAGUAGAGUGGAUUACACCAUAACAAGUCUUAUCUCACUAAAGUUGCAGUAUAGCAGACUAAAGAUAGCAAAUGUUUCAUCGAAGAGCCACAGAUCUUAUCUUUCUGAAGUUGCCAUGGAGCAGACUGAAGCUACUAAUCCUAUCUCCCUGAAGUUGCAGUGGAGCGGAUUAAAAUGAUAAAUCCUAUACCUCUGAAGCUGCACUAGGUCAGAUUAAAUCUAUUAUAGCAGGUCUUAUCUCCCUGAUGUUGCAGUGGAAUAGACUAAAACCAUGAAUCUCGUCCCCCUGAAGUUGCUGUGAAGAAGAUUGAAGCUACAAGUCAGAUCUCUCUGAAGUGCAGUGGAGUGGAUCGAAGCAACACAAGCUCCAGUGGACUGGAAUGAAGCUACCUGAAGAAGAAAGGCACCAAGAAGUCAAGACUUGGCGAGACCGGGCAAAAUUAGGCUUUCUUAGUCUUUGUUCUGUUCUCGUUACACGACAACGAGCAAAGAGGGGCAGCUGUACAACCCAAUUUCGCCCUGGGCCUAGGCAGGCCCAAUUACAAGGCCCAAAUGCCCAAACCUACCCAAUACCCAAACCCCAAACAGCAAACCCAAUAGCCCAAAUUACAAACAAGCCCAAAUAAAGAAAAACCUAGCCCAAACCCAAAACCAAAAAAAAAGAAAGAAACAAAGAAACCAUAGCCUCUAACCUUAGCCUCUGCCGCCGCCCUAGCCUCUACCGUGCCAGCAUCGCCUCUGACGUCGCGCCACCAACUCCCUCACCUGCUCCAUCAAAUGUCAAAUACCUGCAAGAAGGAAGAACACGCAAAAGAGACACAGUAACAAAAAUAGACAAUGUAACAGGGCUAUAAGAGCCGAACUUCAUUCUUGUAAAAGAAGAGUCUUUGAAAAAAAAGGGAAAAACCGAUUCAAAAAAAAUACAAAGAUUCAAGAAGAAAUAAAAGUAACAUUUUUAUCUUAUUUCGUUUUUCAUUAAUCUUUUUUUUUAAUUUUUAAUUUUUAAUUUUUUUCUGUUUGUUCUAAGAUAUAUAUAUUAUAUACGCAUAUGUAGUAGAAAAAUAAAAAAUAAAAAAUAUACCUUUUUUAAUUUUUCGACCACUGUGUACGGUGGCCGACGUGACGGUGCCGACGGCGGAGCCUCACCGAACCCAGGGCCGGAGUUCAGAAAGGGGAGAGGAGGCUAGCGAGAUUUUUUGUUGUUUUUUGGAAGAAAGGCUGAAAAUGAGGUUUUAAAAAAGAAAUUUGGCUUUUAUAAUAUUAUUAAAAUGACACCGUUUUGCUAUUAAGGUUCAGGUGCCAAAACGACGCCGUUUUGGCCUUGACCCACGCGGUGACUCGAUCCUGAGGGGAGGAUCCGCCUAUUUUCUUUAAAAGGGCUAUUUGCGCGCGCGGUCCCUCUGCUUUUGCAGCGCGUUGC
This 11428-nucleotide long non-coding RNA is filed under the name Gossypium raimondii (Peruvian cotton). Its description in RNAcentral is "long non-coding RNA (GRAI_LNC003978)". Lineage: Eukaryota; Viridiplantae; Streptophyta; Magnoliopsida; Malvales; Malvaceae. The record is from RNAcentral.